GGAGGGAUCGCAUAGUUGGUCUAGUGCGCCGCACUUGAAAUGCGGUAGGCCCGAAAGGGUCUCGAGAGUUCGAAUCUCUCUCCCUCCG
This 88-nucleotide transfer RNA is filed under the name Parcubacteria group bacterium RIFOXYD2_FULL_52_8. Its description in RNAcentral is "tRNA-Ser". It matches the Rfam family "tRNA". Rfam says of the family: Transfer RNA (tRNA) molecules are approximately 80 nucleotides in length. Their secondary structure includes four short double-helical elements and three loops (D, anti-codon, and T loops). Further hydrogen bonds mediate the characteristic L-shaped molecular structure. tRNAs have two regions of fundamental functional importance: the anti-codon, which is responsible for specific mRNA codon recognition, and the 3' end, to which the tRNAs corresponding amino acid is attached (by aminoacyl-tRNA synthetases). tRNAs cope with the degeneracy of the genetic code in two manners: having more than one tRNA (with a specific anti-codon) for a particular amino acid; and 'wobble' base-pairing, i.e. permitting non-standard base-pairing at the 3rd anti-codon position. The record is from RNAcentral.